Long non-coding RNA from Oncorhynchus keta (chum salmon), 1428 nucleotides. RefSeq lists it as uncharacterized. NCBI's taxonomy places the organism in Eukaryota, Metazoa, Chordata, Actinopteri, Salmoniformes, Salmonidae. The transcript is spliced from 2 exons. The record is from RefSeq and is a predicted model, not a curated record.
AAACAUCUCUGGAUUAACUAUCUAAUAUUAGCUACAUUUUUUUAGUUAAUACAUUGGCUAAAAUUGUUUCAGUUCGCAGAAUUGCCAAAUGUCUUGGGCAAGUUUUACAUAGAAAAUGUCUUUAUCUAGCUAGCUCAUGGUUAGCUAGUUAGCAACAUUACCCUGGCUAGAUGGCUACAUUAGCCGUCUAUUUGUCUAGCCAUUAAAUGCAUGUGAAAUUCAGAAAAACAAGUUUAGCUUUCUUUUGGCUUCUCUAAAUCAACAAUAGCUCACUAGUCAGCAGUUUAGCUCGCUAAUUAACUAACAAGCUAGCUUAGAUGGUGAAGCUCUAGCGCUAGGAGUUCUUGAUCAUGUUUGUUUGCGUCUGUGGGUAGCCUACUUCAAAGUACUACUGUAAUUGUAGCUAAACUAGCUAGCUGUAUUAUUUGUCUGGCAUUCUGAGAGGCUUCAUAAAUGGACUGAUUUAGCAUUCUCUCGAGUCAGUGUGCUUACUGUACUGUGGGAAAACAUUGUGUGCUGUUACCCUCUGGACAGCAGAUCAUUAGUAUAGGUAGUAGGCAAGGUUAUGUAACCUUAUUUUGUGCUAUCGGCUAUGGUGGGUUUCAAGUUGAUUGAUAUUCACACAUUUGUUUUUUGAGGUAGAAUUACUGUAAUGUUAAUGAUUCCAAAUUGCUAACCUUAUUUGCACCUUGUCUAUUCCAGAACCAAUUGGUGUGCCUGAGUCUUCUCAACUAGACAUAAGACAACCAUGAUUUGAAUGCUGAAACUGAGACGUAAUGAUGUCGAAGGACAUAUGCAGAGACCACGAGUAUGAUUGGACAUGGUCUGGAUAUUUGUGACCACUACCUACUAGGGGUGCAGAAGCACACCAGCACCCCAUUUUAUUUUUAUUCCAUGGCCAACAAGCUCUCACGCUACCCUUUACUGUCUUUCAACUUCAGACACUUUGGAACUCUCUACCCUACCUUCACACAUUUCCCCUAUGCUGCUUCCUUCACUUGUUCUUCUCCUGAUUUGAUAACAUCUAGACUCAGUAACACAUUUAAAAGUGUUGUGGUGUACUGUUUUUGCUAUUGACAAGCAACAUUGACAAGAAGGGUGUUGUUAUUGCUGCUAACUUGUUUUGAGUCUUAAGUGCGUUUCUCAUUUUAUAUUUUUACAUUUGAGUAAUUUAGCAGACAAUCUUACCCAGAGCGACUUACAGUAGUGAGUGCAUACAUUUUCAUACUUUUAUUUUUGUUGUUGCUGGAGUUGGUUAGUAAUUUAUAUAAAACCUACCUUACGCAUCAAGUUUUUCCAUUUGUAACCCACCCACCAAAAUCACAAUAUGCUGUUUUACAUGUAUUAUUUGUGCUGGCCUAAUUCCUAAAAAUGGGAAACAUAGAAGAAUCUGUUCGCUCUCAGAUAGUAAUAAAAGUUCAUAUGGUG